GUCCGUCGCUUUCUGAUGAAUUCAUCGGCCCCGGGCGCCGCAGGGGAAUCUGGCCCCCGGAGGCUGGUGCUCGAACCCUGAACUCUCGUCUCCUGCGGACUGACAGGUUUGUCGGCCACGCGGACAGGAGAUUGAAUUAGUUCUCAGUAAUGGGGAGAACCUACAUUGUAGAAGAGACUGUUGGCCAGUAUCUUUCAAACCUCAAUCUCCAAGGAAAGUCUUUGGUCUCCGGUCUUUUAAUAGGACAGUGUUCUCCACAAAAGGAUUAUGUGCUUCUUGCCACUAGAACACCACCCAAAGAGGAAAAAAAUGAGAACCUCAAACAUCCCGAAGAUAAGUUGGAUAACUUGGAUGAAGAAUGGGCCACAGAGCAUGCUAACCAGGUAUCCAGAAUGCUACCUGGUGGACUCUUAGUUCUUGGAGUAUUUAUUAUUACAACAUUAGAAAUGGGAAAUGAUUUUCAAAACACCCUGCGCAGACUAGUAUUUGCUGUGGAAAAAUCUAUGAAUAAAAAGAGACUGUGGAAUUUCACAGAGGAGGAAGUCUCAGAGCGAGUGACACUUCACAUUUGCUCUUCUACAAAAAAAAUAUUUUGUCGAACUUAUGAUAUCCAUGAUCCAAAGACUUCAGCAAAACCAGCAGACUGGAAGUAUCAAAAUGGACUGUCAACUUCAUGGCUUUCUUUGGAGUGUACAGUUCAUAUUAAUAUUCACAUCCCAUUGUCUACUACUUCUGUCAGCUAUACUUUGGAGAAAAAUACAAAGAAUGGACUUGCACGCUGGGCCAAGCAAAUAGAAAAUGGUGUUUAUUUGAUAAAUGGACAAGUUAAAGCUGAAGAUUGUGACCUACUAGAAGGACAGAAAAAAUCUAGAGGAAAUGCUCAAGCAAGUAGCCAUUCUUUUGAUGUCAGAGUGUUAACGCAGUUGCUUCUGAAUUCAGAUCACAGAUCCACAGCCACCGUCCAGAUUUGCAGCGGCUCUAUAAACCUUAAGGGUGCUGUGAAAUGCAGAGCGUAUAUUCACAGCAAUAAACCCAAAGUUAAAGAUGCUGUGCAGGCAGUGAAGAGAGAUAUAUUGAAUACAGUUGCUGAUCGUUGUGAAAUACUCUUUGAGGAUCUGAUUUUGAAUGAAAUUCCAGAAAAAAAAGAUUCUGAAAAAGAGUUUCACAUCCUUCCUCACCGAGUUUUUGUCCCCAUUCCGGGAUCCACAGUAAUGUUAUGUGAUUAUAAAUUUGGCGAUGAGUCAGCUGAAGAAAUCAGAGACCAUUUUAUAGAGAUGUUAGAUCAGAGGAUUCAAAUAGAAGAUUUGGAAAUUGCAGAGGAAAUAAACACAGCUUUUCUGAGCUCCUCUAUGAAUACUGAAGCUUCAUUGGACAACACACAUGAUGAUCAACCAAAAGAGCCAAUCAAAACUACAGUAGUAGUGAAAAUUCAACAAAACAUGGGUAUGAUUGCAGCAUUUGCAGUUGCAGUCCUUGCUGCGGGUAUCUCCUUUCACUACUUCAGUGAUUAGGGUGAGGCACAAAGAGCUUGCUGAUCAUCCAGAAAAUACUGACCAACAAUUAUGAAUAAUAAAGAUGCAAGCAAGACAUCUGCAUUUAAGACAACAGCAGCCAGACCUGCUGCCAAACUCCUAUUAGAUUUUAGUCCUCUUGAUCUGGAUCACAUAUUCAUCAGGACAUUGAAAAUUUGAAUAGUCAGGGUUGGCUGAAUAUCUUAGUGAUAGAACAACAGGAGAAAGUUCUACAAAGUGGGGCAACAACCUAUUGGGUAAGUUCAUACUGUAGGACCUUUCUAAUGUAUACCUAGUUCCAAAAUAUUGAUCAAGUUCUGAUCAAGGUGUAGGAAACCUUUCCAGAUUUGAAUCAGUAAGGGUUGCCAGAAAUCAUGUGCUUUCUCAUGUUUGCAUAUCAUAAUUAUUUUACUCUAUUAAAUAAAACUUUUCUUCCAGCAGCACAUUAGACUAGGUACUGCAAAACAGCUAGAUCCUGAAUAAAAAUAUACCUUUGAAUGCAUUAAUAGGCUCAAGGAAAGUAGGGGAGAUCUCCAAGGACCAUACCUUUAUUUUUCUUUCCCCACAAAAAUGAACACAUUUUGAAUUGGAAAUCGUGGAUAUUGUGUUAAGCAUACAGGUGGACUAUGGUUGCUCAGAUGGCAGAUACCAAUUUUAGCACUGCCUUAUGCCGUUUGCCUCAGACCACAAACAAGGGGAUUAAGCGGAAUCUGAGACUCUACCCUAGCCAGCACAGUUGAAGCUGCCCUCGUCUUGAAGUUCCCUACAACUCCUGACAGAAGCAAGAAAUAGGCCAGAGAUUCUCAUAGAUUAAGAUAAAGCAAUGUCAUUUCAUGACUAGAGAUCAUCAGGCACAAGCUGAAGCUAGCUAGCAUGAGAAAGAACCUAUAGAAAUAACCAGCUUUGGAUUAAAUUCUCCAAGGUCUCAUCACCAACAUACAUGAAGGAUGGAACCACAGGCAGAUAUGCAAAAUAAAGAAAUGGAACUGCUAGAAAUGAGAAAUGUUACUUGAAAUUAAAAAAACCCUAAGACUUUGAAUAUCGUAUUAGACUAAGCUGAAAAGACAGUGGAUAAACUGAAAGCUAAAGCUAAAGAAAUGACCCCGUGCACAGCAAGGAGAAAUGAGUUGCUGGAAGAUCUAAAUACUAAGGUAUCGAGGGAAGAAUUAUGGAGACUGAAGUACCAGGGGGAGAGAAUGGAGCAGUGGCAAUAUUUGAAGAAAUAACUUCCCACAUUUGUUGGAAAACAUGAAUUCAUAAAUUCAGGAAGCCCAGUCUGUCCCA
Non-coding RNA from Miniopterus natalensis, 2795 nucleotides. NCBI's taxonomy places the organism in Eukaryota, Metazoa, Chordata, Mammalia, Chiroptera, Miniopteridae. The record is from RefSeq and is a predicted model, not a curated record.